This 486-nucleotide ribosomal RNA is filed under the name uncultured bacterium. RNAcentral describes it as "partial 16S ribosomal RNA". It matches the Rfam family "Bacterial small subunit ribosomal RNA", at positions 28 to 507 of the family's 1533-position model. The record is from RNAcentral.
GACGAACGCUGGCGGCGUGCUUAACACAUGCAAGUCGAACGCUGAAGACCUGGCUUUUGUUGGGUUGGAUGAGUGGCGAACGGGUGAGUAACACGUGAGUAACCUGCCCUCUUCUUUGGGAUAACGCCCGGAAACGGGUGCUAAUACUGGAUAUUCACUGGCCUUCGCAUGGGGGUUGGUGGAAAGGUUUGUUCUGGUGGGGGAUGGGCUCGCGGCCUAUCAGCUUGUUGGUGGGGUGAUGGCCUACCAAGGCUUUGACGGGUAGCCGGCCUGAGAGGGUGACCGGUCACAUUGGGACUGAGAUACGGCCCAGACUCCUACGGGAGGCAGCAGUGGGGAAUAUUGCACAAUGGGCGAAAGCCUGAUGCAGCGACGCCGCGUGAGGGAUGGAGGCCUUCGGGUUGUAAACCUCUUUCGCUCAUGGUCAAGCCGCAACUGUGGGUUGCGGUGAGGGUAGUGGGUAAAGAAGCGCCGGCUAACUACGUG